Molecule: long non-coding RNA, 1922 nt
Organism: Eucalyptus grandis
Lineage: Eukaryota; Viridiplantae; Streptophyta; Magnoliopsida; Myrtales; Myrtaceae
Exons: 2
Source: RefSeq, a predicted model, not a curated record
UCGACCCUCCGAUCCAUUGCUCCAUUGAAAAUCUCUGCCAUGCCUCCUUGCUGGUCGUACUCUCUAACGUCGGCGUCCUUAGCUGGAACUCUCUAAUCCGGCUCCAUUUUUUUACCAGUCCAAAGACCGUGCUCGAUGCCGAUGAUUCCAUCUGGCGGUUCUCGAGUUCUGACGGCGAUCCUUAGCUCCUAGAGUCUUGCAAUCAUCAUCUCCGUCAAGUCCUUAAACCGUGCCUCGCCAGAGUGUGGAUGGAUCAUCACCGGACUUCUCUAGCUCUCUACUUAGCUUGAUUUCUCGUUUUGAUCAUUUCGAGCUUGAUGGAAAUGAUUUCACAUGCUAUUCAUUUGUGGAUUGAUCUAGAUUCAAUGAGCUACUUUUGGCCAUUUGGAAGUGUUAUCCGGUGGCCAGAAUAGCUAUUGAGCUUGAGGAUUGAAGAUGACAAAGAUAAAGCUCUCUAGAUCUUGAAUUCGAUGAAGUGAGAUUAAAUGGCAAAAGGAGUGGAAAGCCAAACUUCAAGGGAAAGUCUUUUAUUAUGACUGGCGGGAUAUAAGGCUCGGGGCUGGAAUUCAACCUCUAGAGCAUUUCAUUCAAGUAGGCAAAAUAGAACAACCCUUAGCUAGGGCUUCAGAGCAUAUAAGAUCCAAGAGGGGUUGGGGAGGUGUAACAGCCCAAUUCGAGGGAAGGAUUCGGCAACCAUGGGCUUUAGCGGCCCAAUUAGCAAUAUAAUUAGCCUCUCUCCUACAAUGCUGAAUAUGAAGAUUGGAGAAACGGGGGAUCAGCACCGCACAUUUAGCAAACAAAGCAUACUCUCCCACGGCGUCAAACUAGGGUGGUGCAUAGCAGCCACGAGUACCAGACAAUCAGAUUCCAGGAGUAGGUUUUCAUGCUCUUUCCCCUUCUACAGCAAAUGCUUGAGAGUGAGGAUUAGUGCUUGUACCUCCGCCUGUAGUGCCGAAGAAGCUUGGAUGCUACUGGUGAAGCCAUCGAACAGUGUUCCAAAAUGAUCACGACACACACACGCCAUGGCACCCUCAUUGCUUGCCGUUGGAUAAGACCCAUCGAUGUUGAUUUUCACUACGCUAGGCUCCAGUGGGCACUGCGCCAAAUUAGGGUUUGGAAGCUUCUUCCCUAGAUUCAACAUCGUUUGAAGACAGCAACGGGCGAUCCUUGCAUUACCGAGAGCCACCUCCACCACCUGUUCUAGAUUUGGGUGUAGCUACCGGAAGACAAAAUGAUUGCGCACCUUCCAGAUCUGCCACAGUAUGGAUGCAAUAGUCUCCAGAUCAAGUAAGAUGUCUCUGUUCUUGAUCGGAUCUGCAAGCCAAGAGUCUAUUCUAUUUGCUCCAUGUGUUGGUAUCGUGAUUUUGACUCGUGGGUGUGACCAAAUGUCUUGCGUCCAUGGGCACAAGAGAAAAACAUGUUCUGUUGUUUCUGGGAGUUGAUCUUGGCAUAACUUACAUAUUGGAUCGGGGAUGAUUCGUCUAUGGUAGAGGUUUUCCUUUGUAGACAGUGCAUUGUGGCAUAAGGACCACAUGAAUAUGCGAAGUUUAGGGACUGUCUUCAUGGUCCAUAUCUUUCUCCACAAUUUCUGUGGGAUUUGAUAGGAUGAGGAGGCUCGACCGUGAAUGUUGCUGUUUUCUAUAUGUUUGAUAUAAUUGUACCCACUCUUCAUUGUAUACAUUCCAGUUUGUGUCCCUUUCCAGAUGAGUUGGUCAGCUGUGGAGUGGGUUCGUAACUAGAGGGUAAGAAUUUCCUAAUUGAUAUGCAUUGUUUCUCUGUUUUUUUAUUUAUUUAUAAAAUCGUGUGAUAAAAAUCUAAAUUCAAUGUUUGGAUGACUUUUGUUCUUCAUAUCGUGAUCUGUAUUAUAUAAAAUUUCAGGAUGAAUGAAGCUCUUAGAUAGAUGAAAAUUACUUCGCAUUGUA